This 253-nucleotide ribosomal RNA is filed under the name uncultured bacterium. RNAcentral describes it as "partial 16S ribosomal RNA". It matches the Rfam family "Bacterial small subunit ribosomal RNA", at positions 524 to 776 of the family's 1533-position model. The record is from RNAcentral.
GACAGAGGAUGCAAGCGUUAUCCGGAAUGAUUGGGCGUAAAGCGUCUGUAGGUGGCUUUUUAAGUCUGCCGUCAAAUCCCAGGGCUUAACCCUGGAAAGGCGGUGGAAACUGAAGCGCUAGAGUGCGGUAGGGGUAGAGGGAAUUCCCGGUGUAGCGGUGAAAUGCGUAGAGAUCGGGAAGAACAUCGGUGGCGAAAGCGCUCUACUGGACCGCAACUGACACUCAGGGACGAAAGCUAGGGGAGCGAAUGGG